Molecule: long non-coding RNA, 217 nt
Organism: Setaria italica (foxtail millet)
Lineage: Eukaryota; Viridiplantae; Streptophyta; Magnoliopsida; Poales; Poaceae
Exons: 2
Source: RefSeq, a predicted model, not a curated record
UUCUAUCUUCAAACAAGUGGACUUGUACAAACGAAAGAAUGGGCUCUUCUCAUCUUUCUCUUCAACACCAGUAGAGGACAGGAUGCAGAAGACCCAGUUACAUGUGCCUUGCCAAACAAGAUAUGCAGGUCAUCGAGGAACUUGGGUCCUUGUUUUCGAAACUUUAUAUGGUGGCAUUUGAUUCCUUUCUCACGAUUGUUGCAUUUCUACAAUUAGA